RNAcentral lists this ribosomal RNA (580 nucleotides) under uncultured rumen bacterium. RNAcentral's name for it is "bacterial SSU rRNA". It matches the Rfam family "Bacterial small subunit ribosomal RNA", at positions 192 to 773 of the family's 1533-position model. The record is from RNAcentral.
UCCCUGAGGUGAAAGAUCCGUCGGUCCGGGAUGGGCAUGCGGCGCAUUAGCUAGUUGGCGGGGUAACGGCCCACCAAGGCGACGAUGCGUAGGGGUUCUGAGAGGAAGGUCCCCCACACUGGUACUGAGACACGGACCAGACUCCUACGGGAGGCAGCAGUGAGGAAUAUUGGUCAAUGGGCGGUAGCCUGAACCAGCCAAGUCGCGUGCGGGAUGAAGGCCCUCCGGGUCGUAAACCGCUUUAGCCGGGGAGUAACGUGGGGGACGCGUCCCGCAGUGAGAGUACCCGGAGAAUAAGCAUCGGCUAACUCCGUGCCAGCAGCCGCGGUAAUACGGAGGAUGCGAGCGUUAUCCGGAUUUAUUGGGUUUAAAGGGUGCGCAGGCGGCGUGUCAAGUCAGCGGUCAAACUGCGGGGCUCAACCCCGUACCGCCGUUGAAACUGGCAUGCUCGAGUUCGUGCGAUGGUGGCGGAAUGCGCGGUGUAGCGGUGAAAUGCAUAGAUAUCGCGCAGAACUCCGAUUGCGAAGGCAGCUGCCAAGCACUGGACUGACGCUCAUGCACGAAAGCGUGGGUAUCGAAC